AUGAUACAAAACCUGCAGAGGUCAGUAAGUUUAAAUGAUUUUGAAAUCAGGUCUUUAUGGCUUCCUUGGAUGUAUGAGAUUCCAAACAAGAAUUUGAAAUCAGGUUCCUCAUUGUGUAGGUUACAGGAAAUACAAUGUUAUGACCCUGUAUCAACCGUUUUCCAAGGAAAUUCAGUGCUGAAAGAUCAACUGAGACCUUCAUCUGGUAAAAGUACAUUUCUCCCACCCCUAGUAAUACAACUCUUCCAAGAAGAGAAGUUGGACACCGGGAGCUGCUGAAUUAUUCUGUGUAUGAGGAAGCUUAUUUGGGAGACAUCACCUACUGCUCCCUCUGUAUGUGAGUGUGUGGGGAUUAUUUAGAGUUUAAAUACUUUUAAAAUCUCAACUUUUCAUAGAGUGUUCUGAAUUUUAAAAUUAUUCCAGAAAUGAAAAUGACACCUAUUUCAAGUUCACAUAUCGACAGAUGCUAAACACAUAUGAAGGAACAAGUGGGUGUUGGUUUUUCACCUGCCCUGUCUCUUGUACUAAGCCCUUUCAAACUAUUAAGUUUCAGAAGUUUUCUUCAAGUGUUUGUAAAUGAAUGUCAUCUUUAAUUCCAUACAGUUGUAGAUUUCAGGUCUUUAGUUAACUUCGUUCUCACACUCUACAUGUGUAAUUUUUUAAAUAUAGAUUUACACAGUGUGGGUAACACCCUUUAAAAAAAAAAAGUCUUUGAAAUGACUUCGACAAAGUUGCUGCUGCUUUCUUCAGCAGUGAUGUGGCCCCAUGUGUGGAGGUUAGGAUUGGAUAACAUCUGCAGUGCCUGCUUUAUUCUUGCUUACGUAUCCAAAGACAGCUGCCUCUUCCAGCAGCCAGUCAUGCAUGUAAUUGUAGUUCUGACUGGUUGAAGCCUCCUGCUUAAGCAGUUGUAAUACUGACAAGAUUGUGACCUGCAUCACUGGCAGAGUUUUUCCACCUUUCUGUGAAACACGAGAGCCCAAUAUUGGCUACAGUUUACUGCUUGAGCUUUGUACUGAUACAAUGCUACUGUCUUCAGUAGCAUUAUUUUAGUGUGAAAGUGGACUUAUGUGGUGAAAAUCUGGGCUGAAUUUUCAAGUAGGAAAAUAUUUUCUGAAGAGUUAAGUGAUAGAUAUACUACUCACUUUUGAAAGUUUGAUCUGGCCUGCCUAUAUGUUUCAUCUGCUUUCUAUGCUGAAAGAAAGAUUUGUUUAUAAUUGCAUUUGUUUUUUGCUUAGCAUAUGUUUAGGUAAGAGUACUUGCCAGAAAAUCUGUAUGAAGU
This 1279-nucleotide long non-coding RNA is filed under the name Anser cygnoides (Swan goose). RNAcentral's name for it is "lncRNA (ENSACDG00005001606.1)". Lineage: Eukaryota; Metazoa; Chordata; Aves; Anseriformes; Anatidae. The record is from RNAcentral.